This 605-nucleotide small RNA is filed under the name Pongo abelii (Sumatran orangutan). RNAcentral's name for it is "retained intron". Lineage: Eukaryota; Metazoa; Chordata; Mammalia; Primates; Hominidae. The record is from RNAcentral.
AUGUGUAUUCUAGAGCCCUCAAGAAAAGAACUUAGGUCUUUUAUUUUCUCUGGACUCUUAAAAUCAAUCCCUCUCAGAUGACUAUAUGCUAGAGCAGUGCCCUUACCUGAAGGCCUAGAACUGCUAGUAUGCCCAGUAACCUAAGAAUGCUCACUGGAGUGAACCAACAUACAGAUCUGUAUUGUGGGUAGUCUCUGUGUAAUAAACUCACAGGAAUCUGGGCAAUUAGUGCUGAGCCUAUCUUGCUUUUCUUCUCUCUAUUCUUCAUAGCUGGCUCCCACCAGAAGUACUUCCCUGCUCAACUCCAUGACUGUCAUCCAGAAUCCUGUGAAGGUCUGUGAUCAGGUAUUUGCCCUGAUCGAAAACCUCACCCACCAGAUCCGGGAACGAAUGCAGGACCCCAGGUCUGUAGACCUGCAGCUCUACCACAGUGAGACACUAGAGCUAAUGCUACAGCGUUGGAGCAAGCUGGAGCGUGACUUUCGACAGAAGAGUGGGCGCUAUGAUAUCAGUAAGAUCCCUGACAUCUAUGACUGUGUCAAGUAUGAUGUGCAGCACAAUGGGAGUCUGGGACUUCAAGGCACAGCAGAGUUGCUCCGUCUCUC